AUGGCCGCUGCGGCGGGCGACGAGCCGGAGACGACGGUAGAGGUGAAGCUGCGCGCCGUCGGUCCGUCCAGGCCCACCACCAUCCGCCUCCCCCCGCUCAUCUCGGUUGCCGAUCUGCGCCGCAGCGUCGCUCUCGACCGGCGUCUCCCAGAAGACCGCCUCCGCCUGGUCCUCCGGGGGACGACUCUCCCGUGGGGAGACGACACCCAUGUCAAGCUCCGCGACGGGGAUAGUCUUAUAGUUGCCGUGGCACCUAAACCACCUGCUAAGCAUCUCCGCGGUGAUGAUGAUGAUGAUGACGAUGACGAUGAAGAAGAACUGAAGUUCAAGAUACCUCAAACAACAACCUGGUGGAAGAAAAGGAUUUUCAUAUUUCUUCGAGAAAAACUGAGAUUGCCCGAUAUCUUGUUGAUGGCACUAUUUUCUGUCACUAUGAAAGCAUGGAUUAUCAUCACACUAUGGUUCCUAUUGGCACCUAUUGCUCGAAAGUAUGAGGUCGGACCUUUAUAUAUACUUGCGACAGGUUUCUUGAUCAUACUUCUUAACCUUGGAAGACGACAACAAGGUGAUAUUAGUGCAUACUCCAUAUUCAAUGAAGACUUCAGGGAGAUUCCAGGAACAUUUAACGCGGAGCGCAUAGAUAGAGACCUCCGGGCAGGUCAAUUGUAA
RNAcentral lists this ribosomal RNA (669 nucleotides) under Triticum aestivum (bread wheat). Its description in RNAcentral is "partial small subunit ribosomal RNA". Lineage: Eukaryota; Viridiplantae; Streptophyta; Magnoliopsida; Poales; Poaceae. The record is from RNAcentral.